RNAcentral lists this ribosomal RNA (858 nucleotides) under uncultured bacterium. RNAcentral describes it as "bacterial SSU rRNA". It matches the Rfam family "Bacterial small subunit ribosomal RNA", at positions 72 to 906 of the family's 1533-position model. The record is from RNAcentral.
UCGGGUAGCAAUAUUCGGUAAUGACAGUGGCGCAGGGGUGCGUAACGCGUGGGGAAUCUGCCUUGAAGUCUGGAAUAACUCCAAGAAAUCGGAGCUAAUACCGGAUGUGAUUAUUGGAAGGCAUCUUCUGAUACUCAAAGUUGGGGACCGUAAGGCCUGACGCUUUAAGAUGAUCCCGCGACCUAUCAGCUAGUUGGUGAGGUAACGGCUAACCAAGGCUAAGACGGGUAGCUGGUCUGAGAGGACGACCAGCCGCACUGGAACUGAGACACGGUCCAGACACCUACGGGUGGCAGCAGUCGAGAAUUUUUCUCAAUGGGGGAAACCCUGAAGGAGCGACGCCGCGUGGGGGAUGAAUGGCUUCGGCCCGUAAACCCCUGUCAUUUGCGAUCAAACCUUACGUUUUAAUAAAGCGUAAGCUGAUAGUAGCGGAAGAGGAAGGGACGGCUAACUCUGUGCCAGCAGCCGCGGUAAUACAGAGGUCCCAAGCGUUGUUCGGAUUCACUGGGCGUAAAGGGUGCGUAGGCGGUCGGGUAAGUCUGACGUGAAAUCUUCAAGCUUAACUUGGAAACUGCGUCGGAUACUAUUCGGCUAGAGGAAUGGAGGGGAGACUGGAAUACUUGGUGUAGCAGUGAAAUGCGUAGAUAUCAAGUGGAACACCAGUGGCGAAGGCGAGUCUCUGGACAUUUCCUGACGCUGAGGCACGAAAGCCAGGGGAGCAAACGGGAUUAGAUACCCCGGUAGUCCUGGCCCUAAACGGUGCACGUUUGCUGUAAGAGGAAUCGACCCCUUUUGUGGCGAAGCUAACGCGUUAAACGUGCCGCCUGGGAAGUACGGCCGCAAGGGUAAAACUCAAAG